RNAcentral lists this ribosomal RNA (860 nucleotides) under uncultured bacterium. RNAcentral describes it as "bacterial SSU rRNA". It matches the Rfam family "Bacterial small subunit ribosomal RNA", at positions 26 to 896 of the family's 1533-position model. The record is from RNAcentral.
AGAGUGAACGCUGGCGGCGUGCUUAACACAUGCAAGUCGAACGAGAACGGAUUUAAGCUUGCUUAAAUUGUCAGCUAAGUGGCGCACGGGUGAGUAAUAUAUAGUUAACCUGCCCUAGAGAGGGGGAUAACGUUUGGAAACGAACGCUAAUACCCUAUAUGCCUUUAAUACAUAAGUAUGCAAGGGAAAUAUUUAUAGCUCUAGGAUGGGACUGUACGGUAUCAGUUAGUUGGUGAGGUAAUGGCUCACCAAGACUAUGACACCUAACUGGUUUGAGAGGAUGAUCAGUCACACUGGAACUGAGACACGGUCCAGACUCCUACGGGAGGCAGCAGUGGGGAAUAUUGCACAAUGGACGAAAGUCUGAUGCAGCAACGCCGCGUGGAGGAUGACACAUUUCGGUGCGUAAACUCCUUCUAUAUAGGAAGAUAAUGACGGUACUAUAUGAAUAAGCACCGGCUAACUCCGUGCCAGCAGCCGCGGUAAUACGGAGGGUGCAAGCGUUACUCGGAAUCACUGGGCGUAAAGAGCGUGUAGGCGGGUUAAUAAGUUGGAAGUGAAAUCCUAUGGCUCAACCAUAGAACUGCUUUCAAAACUGUUAACCUAGAGUAUGGGAGAGGUAGAUGGAAUUUCUGGUGUAGGGGUAAAAUCCGUAGAGAUCAGAAGGAAUACCGAUUGCGAAGGCGAUCUACUGGAACAUAACUGACGCUGAGACGCGAAAGCGUGGGGAGCAAACAGGAUUAGAUACCCUGGUAGUCCACGCCCUAAACGAUGCACACUAGUUGUUGCUAUGCUAGACAUAGCAGUAAUGCAGUUAACACAUUAAGUGUGCCGCCUGGGGAGUACGGUCCGCAAGAUUA